This is a long non-coding RNA of Anthonomus grandis grandis, 704 nucleotides long. RefSeq lists it as uncharacterized. NCBI's taxonomy places the organism in Eukaryota, Metazoa, Arthropoda, Insecta, Coleoptera, Curculionidae. The transcript is spliced from 4 exons. The record is from RefSeq and is a predicted model, not a curated record.
AUCAGUAUUUUCGAAAAAUAUUUUUUUCUCAAAUUCUUGUACGAAUUUGGAAAAACGCUGAUAUAGGUGUCCCACGAAAUUGUCUAUGGAUUAUGUGUACAAAUAUUCAAAAUGAUAUCUGCUCUAUUUGUUGAGUUCUGAACUUUGUGUCGAAUAAAUAGGAAAAAAAAAUCAGUAUUUUCGAAAAAUAUUUUUUUCUCAAAUUCUUGUACGAAUUUGGAAAAACGCUGAUAUAGGUGUCCCACGAAAUUGUCUAUGGAUUAUGUGUACAAAUAUUCAAAAUGAUAUCUGCUCUAUUUGUUGAGUUCUGAACUUUGUGUCGAAUAAAUAGGAAAAAAAAAUCAGUAUUUUCGAAAAAUAUUUUUUUCUCAAAUUCUUGUACGAAUUUGGAAAAACGCUGAUAUAGGUGUCCCACGAAAUUGUCUAUGGAUUAUGUGUACAAAUAUUCAAAAUGAUAUCUGCUCUAUUUGUUGAGUUCUGAACUUUGUGUCGAAUAAAUAGGAAAAAAAAAUCAGUAUUUUCGAAAAAUAUUUUUUUCUCAAAUUCUUGUACGAAUUUGGAAAAACGCUGAUAUAGGUGUCCCACGAAAUUGUCUAUGGAUUAUGUGUACAAAUAUUCAAAAUGAUAUCUGCUCUAUUUGUUGAGUUCUGAACUUUGUGUCGAAUAAAUAGGAAAAAAAAAUCAGUAUUUUCGAAAAAUAUUUU